GCUGCUUUUCUUCCCCCAGAGAGAAGUCGCCGACUCGUACGCGCAGAACGCCAAAGUGAUCGAAAAGCAGCUGGAGCGCAAGGGCAUGAGCAAAAGGCGGCUGCAGGAGCUGGCUGAACUGGAAGCCAAGAAAGCAAAGAUGAAGGGGACCUUGAUUGACAACCAGUUCAAGUGAUCAGGACCCUUCUCUCAACCCAGACCGGAGGCAGGCGUUUAGAGGAGGAGGAAAAAGAACCGUUUCUUGACUCCAUGGGCAGGUGGCCACGUUUUUGCCCCAGCAGAAGGCUUUCCAUUGCUUCCCAUCGAUUCCUCCUACUUUUGGUGAGGUCUUUGAGUCCAUCUGACCUGCUUUCUAGAGAUGGGCUUUCUAAAUCUUUUCUGUAUAUAGGUCUUCUGUACUAUUUUUUGUUCAUUUGAUGUAAACUUCUUCAGCUGUGUGGAAACUCUAUGAACACAUCAGUGCUCGAGUGUCUCUCAUUUCUAAAGUAGCUGUUCUUCUUCCCUCUUCAAAGUUAAUAAAAUGUUUAUAGAUUUUUGAAAAAAGUA
This is a non-coding RNA of Leptonychotes weddellii (Weddell seal), 546 nucleotides long. The record is from RefSeq and is a predicted model, not a curated record. NCBI's taxonomy places the organism in Eukaryota, Metazoa, Chordata, Mammalia, Carnivora, Phocidae.